AGUGAACGCUGGCGGUAGGCCUAACACAUGCAAGUCGAACGGCAGCACAGUAAGAGCUUGCUCUUACGGGUGGCGAGUGGCGGACGAGUGAGGAAUACAUCGGAAUCUACUUUUUCGUGGGGGAUAACGUAGGGAAACUUACGCUAAUACCGCAUACGACCUACGGGUGGAAGCAGGGGAUCUUCGGACCUUGCGCGAUUGAAUGAGCCGAUGUCGGAUUAGCUAGUUGGCGGGGUAAAGGCCCACCAAGGCGACGAUCCGUAGCUGGUCUGAGAGGAUGGACCGCCACCCUGGAACUUAGACACCGUCCAGACUCCUACGGGAGGCAGCAGUUGGGAAUUUUUGACCAUGGGCGCAAGCCUGGUCCAGCCAUACCGCGUGGGUGAAGAAGGCCUUCGGGUUGUAAAGCCCUUUUGUUGGGAAAGAAAAGCAGCAGGUUAAUACCCCGCUGUUCUGACGGUACCCAAAGAAUAAGCACCGGCUAACUUCGUG
This 492-nucleotide ribosomal RNA is filed under the name uncultured bacterium. RNAcentral's name for it is "partial 16S ribosomal RNA". It matches the Rfam family "Bacterial small subunit ribosomal RNA", at positions 29 to 507 of the family's 1533-position model. The record is from RNAcentral.